AACCUUGUCAAAAUUAGUACGAGCAAGGGGAAUACGACUAUUUAAUUAAAAAAGCACUGUGAUGGUCCCUACGGAUGCUAACAUAAUGUGAUUUAUGCCCAAUGCUCUACAUGCCAAAGUGAUCAGAAACUCAACCAAGCACGGAUAAACGAUGGGAGUAACUAUGACUCUCUUAAGGUAGUCAGAUGUCUCGUCAUCUAAUUAGUGACACAGAUGAAUGGAUUAACGAGAUUCCCAUUGUCCCAAGCUACUAUCUAGAGAAAACAAAACCAAGGGAACGAGCUUGGAAAAAUUAGCAGGGAAAGAUGACCCGAUUGAGCUUGACUCUAGUCCAACUUUGUGAAAUGACUUGAGAGGUGUAGAAUAAGUGGUAUUUGUUUUCAGCGCAAGUGAAAUACCACUACUUUUAACAUCAUUUUACUUAUUGUGUGGGGUAGAGACGAGGCAUUGCACAUAUGUUAAAAGAUAAUGCACAUUUCCUCGAAGUGUUGACUUUGAUGGCAAUGUUCGAAAACUCAUUCUUCACACACUUGAUUGCAAUGAGUUUAGGAAACAAAAGAGGAUCAUUUCUUUUAAGGAUGAAGAAAAUUCCUAUAACAAUCCCUAUGUUUUUAGCCAACAUCCCCCUAUAAGUAUCUAUGU
Picea glauca (white spruce) is the source of this 642-nucleotide non-coding RNA. The record is from Rfam. NCBI's taxonomy places the organism in Eukaryota, Viridiplantae, Streptophyta, Pinopsida, Pinales, Pinaceae.